GGUAGGACCGAAGCCAAAGUCCGCCUCUGUCAGGCAAGGCUGGGAGGAGCCAGCGCGUAAAAAGCCUUUCCUUUAAAGAUACAGCCCGCGGACAAUUGCUAACUCAGCUGGAGAGGCACAUUCCCAAGAAUCCAUUACGAUUUCCCCCAGGAAAGAAAGAAAAACCCGGUCAGCUUUGUGCAAGUGGUGCUCACAUCGGACUGAACUAGGAAGGUGGAAAGAAGGAUGCGCGCCCACCCGCGCGCCCCGGGAAAUCGCUGAAUGGAGAAUUCGGUCCUGCAACUCGUUUAGGAUUUCCGCUCGUGAUUUAGGGCGGCCUCUUUACGCAAAGGACCCUCCUGCUCCAGCCCAGCGUGCGCCCUCCCACAUCGAAAGGGCUCUUCUCCUUGCCAAAGCAAAAGAGGAGCGAGGGCAUCAGGCGGCGGUAUUGAGGCGGCUGCUCUCGGAAUUGCCCGGCUGCCAUGGGGGCUCUGGCGGUGAUCUGGGGCUUCCUGCACCCUCUGCUCGUGGCCCUCUUCGCUGUCUUUGUGUUUUAUUGCUGCUACAUCAGAUCAGUCCACAUGAAAUACGACCACAUCCCCGGGCCCCCUAGGGCGAGCUUCUUCUUCGGUCACCUGCCACUCGUUUGGGGAAUGAUUAGAAAGCAGGAAGUUUAUUUCGAUCUCUUUAAGCAGUGGGCUGAGGAAUAUGGACCAGUCCUGCGUUUAAAUGCCUUUCACAAAGUUGCAUUAUUAGUAUCAGCCCCUGAAGGAGUAAAGGUGUACUUGACAUCACCAGAAUACCCAAAGGACCCCAUGGUAUACCGUGGUCUUCAUGAUAUGUAUGGCGUAAGAUUUCUAGGGCAGGGCUUGUCAGCUGUUCUUGACUACAACCAUUGGCACAACCAGAGGAGAAUCAUGGACCCGGCCUUCAAGAGAACUUACUUGAUGGAGUUGAUGGGAACUUUUAAUGACGUAACAGAAGAGCUAAUGGAGGUGUUGGAGAAAAAAGGUGAUGGAGCAAAUGGAGUGGAUGUGAUGAGCCUGCUGAGACGUGUGACGUUGGACAUCAUUGCAAAGGUGGCUUUUGGGCUAGAAUUGAAGACCCUGCAUGAUGAGCAGGCUGCUUUUCCUCGCGCUAUACUUAUGGUCACAAAAGGACUGAGCACUUCACGCAUUCCUUUGUUUGAGAUCAGGAAGGGAACUAUGAUGAAGAAAAUUUGCUGGACAAUUUUGUCAACUUCUUCUUUGCAGGUCAUGAAACCACUGCUAAUCUGUUAUCAUUCACCAUAAUGGAGUUGGGGCGGAACCCUGAGAUUGUUUCAAAGCUUCAGGAGGAAGUAGACAAGGUUAUUGGUAUGAACUGAGACAUUGUCUAUGAAGAUCUUGGGAAUCUCAAAUACUUAUCACAGCGCACUGACUUGUCGGCGUCCUAACACACAGUGGAUCUGGCCACCAGGUAGUUAUGCAGGCAAUUGAGAAAAACAUGUUCCAUAGUAGUCGGCUGGUAAUCCAUGCUAAUUUUUGAAUUUUUAUUAUUUUAUGUUUUGUAAACCACUGAUUUCCAAACAAAACAAAACAAAAUGGCAGUCAACAAGUAUCUAUAUACAGUAUAUAAAAAUGUAAAAAUUGUGAAAUUCCGUUUGACACUUUUCUCCGUAACUGCUUGACCGAUCGUCCUGAAAUUUUGACACAAUGAUCCAGGCCACUCCUAGAGCGUUGUUGGGGGCAAAAAUCCCUCAAAUCGCACACCUGCCCAGGUGCAGACCUGCUUUUCCACCAAGUCAAACAGCGCCCUCAAGUGGCGUAGUACCCUCCUCCACCCCCUCCCUUCUUGUGAAAUCUAAGCCACACCCACAAACCAAAUGACAUCAUCAUCAACCAAGCAACUGAAAUACACCAAGGCAGCCAUUUUAUCUAGGCCUUUGUUUUAGGCCCCUGGCAGGCUGCCAGGCCUCCACUAGGCCCAGGGAGGGGGAUAACCCACAGCAACACACUUGGGGGCAUGGCAAGGGGUUUUACUUUACCAUUUAGCACCACUACCCCCCCAAAAAACCCCACCAAAGAACCAACAUUGCCAAGUGGAGGUCGGGGCCUGCCUGGGGGGGGGGUUGCCACAGACCGCAGCACGGCCUUUGAUUUAUGUAGGCCCCUACACUGCAAGGGGUUUUUACUUUACAAUUUAGCACCACUACCCCCAAAAAAUCCACAAGACAAAAAUAAAUAUAACUUAUUUUAUGGUUAUGUCUUAUUUUAGGAGAAACAACUGAUUGUAAGCCUCUGUGUCUUUUUUAUAUAUAAAAAAAACAACCAUUCACUUUCUCUCCCCAGUUUAAGUCCUCAGAUAUUUGCAGUGCACACACCCCACCCCAUUUACAAUUCCCUACCUUCCCCUUGCCACUUCCUGGGUUUUUUUAUGGAACUGAACAACUCGGGUACUUCAGAACGCACCUUCUGUUGCCAGGCCCUUGCAGGGCCAGACAGAGGCCCGGCCCAGGUAGAUAAGAUAAUGUGGCCCUGUUUUUAACCCUUUUGUUACUUUUUUCAUUUUACUGAUUGUGAAUAUGCAGACCGAGACCCCCUUUAGAUUUGGAGGCCCGCGCCAAGUGGCCCAUAUGACCCCCCCUCCAUCUGUCUGGGCCUGUCUGUUGCUACGGGGCUAUGGGGCUUCGCUAUUUGACACCCCCCCUCGGGAUUUUUUAAAUAGUUCUCUGCCUCCCAGGGCACAUCAUCACCCCGAUCCUUAAUCUAAAUAUAUAGAAAUGCUCACGAUGCGUGCGCAGGGGCCAAUGUAUGGAGAUACGGGGGGAGGGGACAACAGAGGGCUCAGACAAAAGUAAAUACUGGGAAAUGGAACCCAUAAACUGACAGCUCCUUCUCCAAGGCUGGGGGCCAAUGUAGGAAGAUACCGGGGGUAGGGGCCAACACUCCCCAGGGACAACAGAGGGCUCAGACAGAAGUGCAUGCUGGGAAAUAAAACCCAGAACCUAACAGUUCCUUCUCCAAGGGUGGGGGCCAAGGUAUGGAGAUACAUGGGGGAGGGGCCAACACUCCCCAGGGACAACAGAGGAAAGGGUAUCCUACCGAAACACAGGGAUGAGCCGGGGUGGAGGGAGGAGGAGCAGGAUACGUCAUGGA
Molecule: non-coding RNA, 3116 nt
Organism: Zootoca vivipara (common lizard)
Lineage: Eukaryota; Metazoa; Chordata; Lepidosauria; Squamata; Lacertidae
Source: RefSeq, a predicted model, not a curated record